AAUUUCCUCUCAUCCAACGGCUGCUGCUGACAGCCACAAUGAUGCCGGUUAAGAAAUGAUCGGAAAUAAAACAUCCAUUGGAGACUGUGUAUUUAAAAAUGAAGUGGGAGUUCUGCGCGGGCUCAUCAUUCAAACUAUAACGGUCAUCUAGCACUGGACGCUGAGGAAAAGGGAUAAGCAUUUCAACAGAGCCACAUCACCAAAUGGCAUUACACACUGUCCUUCCUGUGUGUUUGGCUUUUUCAGAACCUGCACGGACAAGUCUGAUGAGUGGAGAUGUUGCUGUGGCCCUCUUUACAGACGAUACAAAUUUCAUUACCAACCUGUGAAAAUCUCAUGUCAUUAUGGAAAUGUGACUCAAGUUGUUAUAGCUCUAAAUACAACACAGUUACAAAAGAGAUGAAUAAAUAUUGUGUUAAUUGUACUUAAUAGUGACUCUCACUACUUUGUGUACUUUCAGGUUCUAUGAACUUCAUGCCAUGGGAACUGUGAUUGAGUAACUUUUUAUUUAUUUAUUUAUGAACAAAUCUGAAAUGGCACAUUCCCAGUUAUUAUAGAGAUAGUUCACUCAAAAUGAAAAUUCUGUAAUUAAUUACUCACCCUCAUGUCGUUCAAAACCCAUAAGAUCUUCAUUCAUCUUUGGAACACAAAAUAAGAUAUUUUUGAUGAAAUCCGAGAGCUUUCUGACCCUGCAUAGACAGCAAUGCAACUGAAAUGUUUAAAAAUAUCUAAAUUUGUGUUCCGAAGAAGAACGAAGAUCUUACUAAGAUCUAUUUGGAACAACAUG
Long non-coding RNA from Onychostoma macrolepis, 787 nucleotides. RefSeq lists it as uncharacterized. The record is from RefSeq and is a predicted model, not a curated record. NCBI's taxonomy places the organism in Eukaryota, Metazoa, Chordata, Actinopteri, Cypriniformes, Cyprinidae. The transcript has 5 exons.